CGUGAGAUGUUGGGUUAAGUCCCGUAACGAGCGCAACCCUUGUCCCUAGUUGCCAGCACAUAAUGGUGGGAACUCUAGGGAGACUGCCGGUGACAAACCGGAGGAAGGUGGGGAUGACGUCAAGUCAUCAUGGCCCUUACGGGCUGGGCUACACACGUGCUACAAUGGUAAUUACAGAAGGAAGCAAAUAUGAAAAUUGGAGCAAAUCCCCAAAAAUUAUCGUAGUUCGGAUUAUAGACUGCAAUUCGUCUAUAUGAAGUUGGAAUCGUAAGUAAUUGCGAAUCAGAAUGUCGCGGUGAAUACGUUCCCGGGCCUUGUACACACCG
Molecule: ribosomal RNA, 326 nt
Filed under: Florenciella parvula
Lineage: Eukaryota; Dictyochophyceae; Florenciellales
Description: partial Bacterial small subunit ribosomal RNA
Rfam family: Bacterial small subunit ribosomal RNA
Source: RNAcentral